This 443-nucleotide ribosomal RNA is filed under the name uncultured bacterium. Its description in RNAcentral is "bacterial SSU rRNA". It matches the Rfam family "Bacterial small subunit ribosomal RNA", at positions 339 to 795 of the family's 1533-position model. The record is from RNAcentral.
GUACGGAAGGCAGCAGUGGGGAAUUUUCCGCAAUGGGCGAAAGCCUGACGGAGCAAUACCGCGUGAGGGAAGACGGCCUAUGGGUUGUAAACCUCUUUUUUCAGGGAGGAAUGCAAUGACGUGUACCUGAAGAAUAAGCAUCGCCUAACUCCGUGCCAGCAGCCGCGGUAAGACGGAGGAUGCAAGUGUUAUCCGGAAUUACUGGGCGUAAAGCGUCUGUAGGUGGUUGAAUAAGUCAACUGUUAAAUCUUGAGGCUCAACUUCAAAAUCGCAGUCGAAACUGUUUGACUAGAGUAUAGUAGGGGUAAAGGGAAUUUCCAGUGGAGCGGUGAAAUGCGUAGAUAUUGGAAAGAACACCGAUGGCGAAGGCACUUUACUGGGCUAUUACUGACACUCAGAGACGAAAGCUAGGGUAGCAAAUGGGAUUAGAUACCCUGGUAGUC